CAGUAGCCGCGGUAAUACGAAGGGUGCAAGCGUUACUCGGAAUUACUGGGCGUAAAGCGUGCGUAGGCGGCUUUUUAAGUCGGAUGUGAAAUCCCUGAGCUUAACUUAGGAAUUGCAUUCGAUACUGGGAAGCUAGAGUAUGGGAGAGGAUGGUAGAAUUCCAGGUGUAGCGGUGAAAUGCGUAGAGAUCUGGAGGAAUACCGAUGGCGAAGGCAGCCAUCUGGCCUAAUACUGACGCUGAGGUACGAAAGCAUGGGGAGCAAACAGGAUUAGAGACCCGCGUAGUCCCUGUCUCUUAUAC
Molecule: ribosomal RNA, 301 nt
Filed under: uncultured bacterium
Lineage: Bacteria
Description: partial 16S ribosomal RNA
Rfam family: Bacterial small subunit ribosomal RNA
Source: RNAcentral